AAUUACCCCCAACCUCAUCUUCUUCCUUCCUUCUCCCUGCUCGAGACGGCGCCGCCGAUCUCCUCCGCCGUGCGUGUCGCCGGCAACCCCCUCCAGUUAUCUCGUGACCUUCUUAGGAUCAUCACACAGAGCUCCAUCCAGCCCGGAGCACUCGAGGGCCGGCGCGGCUGGAGCCACCGGUGACGUGCCCAGCAGGCUCCUGUGCACGGUGCACCGCGUGAUCCCACUCGACUCGUUCACUCGAGCCCACUGCCUGCUGGCGCCAAGUCUUCAGAGCUCGCUUUCUCCCACUCAGCACUACCGAAAGCGAGGAGUACU
This 318-nucleotide long non-coding RNA is filed under the name Setaria italica (foxtail millet). Its description in RNAcentral is "long non-coding RNA (SITA_LNC001996)". The record is from RNAcentral. Lineage: Eukaryota; Viridiplantae; Streptophyta; Magnoliopsida; Poales; Poaceae.